GGGCUUGCUCUGUUGCUCAGGAUGGAGUGCCGUGGUGUGACCUUGGCUCACUGAAGCCUCGAACUAACUCCUGGGCUCAAGUGAUUCCCCUGCCUCAGCCUGCAGAGUAGCUGGGACCAUGGAAACGCUCCCGGCUCAGGGCGCCCUGCGUCCCUGGCGCCACCUGGUGUUCCCGCGGCGCCAGCGCAGCCUCUGAGGCCGUCCCGCUCCUUCCACCCGAGCGCGAGGGAGACUCCGGGGCCACCCGCCACAGCCAUAGCUUCUGGGAGCCGGUGGCAAGGCCGAAUUGGGAUGCAGACCAAAUGCACGUGGGUGAUUGGCAGAAAAAGCCUCCCACAGAUGGAGGGAUUUCGGAGGGAACCGAAAAAAAAAAAAGUUGGACUGCUGAGGUCCACUCCAGGCCCUGCUUGCCUGGGGAACUCCUGUAGCAGCUGCGGAACCAUGAGGAUUGCUACCAGAUUCUUCUUCUGCUAUCUUUGUCCCAGAAUGAUGCCCACCAAAUGUCAGUCUGAUCUCUUAACAUGGUGCCUUCACCCUUCAGCCCAAUCAGUGUUCACAAAACUGACCAGAUGAUGGGAAUUCCUCCUCCUUGAGCAACUGAAGAUGAGGGUGAAGAGAAAGAAAGAAGUCUUGAAUGUUUUCCUUUCAAGGCAACAUAUUACUUACUUAAUAUUAGAAUUAACCAAUAAAAAACCCUCAUAGCAUCUCCUGUGGGUGAGACAUUCCUUGAAGUUGCCAUAUCGGGACUGAAGGCAAAUAACAAAUAUCUAAUGGUGUAACAGGCCAGAGUUUUUACUAUCCUAAUGAAAUCUGCAUAUUUUCAAAAUUGAAUCUGCUUGACUCAACCCACUAGAGCUUGCAAGUAACAACAAUGACAUAAUGAUGAUGCCGACAACAAUGGGUCUUGCUGAUUAAGUGCUUACUAUUACCCGUCACAGUACUAACUGCAACGCACUGCUCAAUUCUCACAACAAAUUAGAGGAUGGGAUGUUAUUUCUCUCCGUUUUGUAGGUAAGCUGACAGAUUCAGAGAAGUAAAGUGGCUUACCUAAAGACUCAUAGUAAGUAACAGCCCCAAGGCCAGUUCUGCCUGGACUCACAGUCCCAGUUUCUUCUUUUGACUCCUUGAUGAAAGCAUCAUUUUGAGGAAAAGCAACAUUUUCCUAAGUUUACCUAAAAAAAGCUUUGCAUUUGAAACUUCCAUAAUAAUAAUUUUAAUAAUAUGCAUAAAAACAUACUCAUCCUAGUACUUGAUAAUGCACAUACUUACCACGUGUUAGAUGCCGUUCUAAGCACUUUACAUAUUUCUAUUCACUGAACCCUCGUUAACAGCACUGUGAAACAGGUACUAUUACUAUUCCCAUUCUUCAGAUGAAGCCACUGAAGCACAAGGUUAAGUAACUUGAACUUUUAUGCCUAAUAAAUGGAGUCUAGUUUGAAUUGUUCAAACUGUCUGAAUAAUUAGACAUACUGACAAUUAUAGCUAUCCGAUGCAUAAAUAAACAAAACUCAUUUAAUUAUGCCUCAAGAUAUUGCACUUUUUACAGAUUAAAGGUUUGUGGCAACCCUGGGUUGAGCAAGUCUAUCAGUGCCACUUUCCCAACAGCAUGUACUUGCUUUGUGUCUUCGUGUUACAUUUGGAUAAUUCUCUUAAUAAUUCAAACAUUUCCAUUAUUAUUAUAUCUGUUAUGGUGAUCUGUGACCAGUGAUCCUUGAUGUUACCAUUGCAAUGGUUUUAGGGCUCCAUAAACUGUGCCCAGAUAAGAUGAAGAUCUUUGAUAAGUGAGUGUGUCCCGACAGCUCCACCAACCAGCCAUUUCCCUGUCUCUCUUCUCCGUGGGCCUCUCUAUUCCCUGAGACACAACAAUAUUGAAAUUAGGCCAAUUAAUAACCCUACAACAAUCUCUAAGUGUUCUAGUGAAAGAAAGUGUCUAGCAUCUCUUACUUUCUUUUUUUUUAAAUAUAUAUUUUACUGCAUUUUAGGUUUUGGGGUACAUGUGAAGAACAUGCAAGAUCAUUGCAUGGAUACACACAUGGCAGUGUGGUUUGCUGCCUUCCUCCUCAUCACCUAUAUCUGGCAUUUCUCCCCAUGUUAUCCCUCCAAAACUCCCCUUCCCCUGCUGUCCCUCCCCUAGUCCCCCCAAGAGACACCAGUGUGUGAUGCUCCAUUCCCUGUGUCCAUGUGUUCUCAUUGUUCAACACCCACCUAUGAGUGAGAACAUGCAGUGUUUGAUUUUCUGUUCUUGUGUCAGUUUGCUGAGAAUGAUGAUUUCCAGGUUCAUCCAUGUCCCUACGAAGGACAUGAACUCAUCAUAUUUUAUGGCUGCAUAGUAUUCUAGGGUGUAUAUGUGCCACAUUUUCCCUGUCCAGUCUAUCAUCGAUGGGCAAUUGGGUUGGUUCCAAGUCUUUGCUAUUGUAAACAGUGCUGCAAUGAACAUUUGUGUGCAUGUGUCCUUAUAAUAGAAUGAUUUAUAGUUCUUUGGAUAUAUACCCAGUAAUGAGAUUGCUGGGUCAAAUGGAAUUUCUAUUUCUAAGUCCUUGAGGAAUCGCCACACUGUCUUCCACAAUGGUUGAACUAAUAAUUUACACUCACACCAACAGUGUAAAAGUGUUCCUAUUUCUCCACAUCCUUUCCAGCAUCUGUUGUCUCCAGAUUUUUUAAUGAUCGCCAUUAUAACUGGUGUGAGAUGAUAUCUCAUUGUAGUUUUGAUUUGCAUUUCUCUAAUAACCAGUGAUGAUGAACAUUUUUUCAUAUGUUUGUUGGCCUCAUAUAUGUCUUCUAUUUUAAAGUGUCUGUUCACAUCCUUCGCCCACUUUUGAAUGGGCUUAUUUGUUUUUUUCUUGUAAAUCUGUUUGAGUUCUUUGUAGCUUCUGGAUAUGUGUUCUUUGUCAGAUGGGUAGAUUGCAAAGAUUUUUUCCCAUUCUGUUGGUUGCUGAUUCACUCUAAUGACUGUUUCUUUUGCUGUGCAGAAGCUCUGGAGUUUGAUUAGGC
This 2991-nucleotide long non-coding RNA is filed under the name Callithrix jacchus (white-tufted-ear marmoset). Its description in RNAcentral is "lncRNA (ENSCJAG00000075953.1)". Lineage: Eukaryota; Metazoa; Chordata; Mammalia; Primates; Cebidae. The record is from RNAcentral.